Molecule: ribosomal RNA, 315 nt
Filed under: Triticum aestivum (bread wheat)
Lineage: Eukaryota; Viridiplantae; Streptophyta; Magnoliopsida; Poales; Poaceae
Description: partial small subunit ribosomal RNA
Source: RNAcentral
AUGUCCUGGAACGUGCGGGGCCUAAACUCCCCUGCAAAGCGCUCGGCCGUCUGCGAGGUAGCACACGCGAACAGGAUUUCAAUCCUAAACUUGCAGGAAACUAAGAUCGAAUCAUGGUACACACAGUUAGCAGUAGAAGUAGGGGGUCCUUCGCUUCAGGGCUGUGUUGUUUUGCGAGCAACAGGAACUAGAGGCGGGGCAGCAAUUUUUUGGGAUAAACAAGUAGUCGACAUAGUCUCACACAUGAUCGCUAGCUUCUCCAUCACGGUUAGGGUUCAAAUCAUCGGCAGCAGCGACUUUUUUUGGAUGACAACC